Molecule: ribosomal RNA, 469 nt
Filed under: uncultured bacterium
Lineage: Bacteria
Description: partial 16S ribosomal RNA
Rfam family: Bacterial small subunit ribosomal RNA
Source: RNAcentral
GACGAACGCUGGCGGCGUGCUUAACACAUGCAAGUCGAACGGUGAAGCGAGUGCUUGCACUCGUGGAUCAGUGGCGAACGGGUGAGUAACACGUGAGUAACCUGCCCAUCACUCUGGGAUAAGCACUGGAAACGGUGUCUAAUACUGGAUACGACCAACCCUUGCAUGGGGUGUUGGUGGAAAGAUUUAUCGGUGAUGGAUGGACUCGCGGCCUAUCAGCUUGUUGGCGGGGUAAUGGCCCACCAAGGCGACGACGGGUAGCCGGCCUGAGAGGGUGACCGGCCACACUGGGACUGAGACACGGCCCAGACUCCUACGGGAGGCAGCAGUGGGGAAUAUUGCACAAUGGGCGAAAGCCUGAUGCAGCGACGCCGCGUGAGGGAUGACGGCCUUCGGGUUGUAAACCUCUUUCAGCAGGGAAGAAGCGAAAGUGACGGUACCUGCAGAAGAUGCACCGGCUAACUACGUG